GCUACAGGCGCCCGCCACGGGACUCCAUCUUUUUAAAAGACUAUGAAUUGUAUUCUCCAGAGACAUGAACGGAAGAAAAGAGAGAAAGUGAGAGAGAGAGAGAGAAGAAAGUUGCCUCUGCCUCAUUCAUUUGGUUCUGUCUUCAGUGGGUCCCAGCAGUGGAAUGAAUAUCAGCAGCACAGGACUCCUGUGGCGCAUCCUACAGUGCUGCAAAUGUACAGAGGGUGAACAGGAUUCUUGCUUUCAAGAUACUCUACUAUGUUAUUGAAAAGGUAUCACUACUGGGGAAACCUCAACUCAAAAAUCUACCCAAGUUCUAGUUUGAACUGUUUACUAAGACUACAUAACAACACUAUUAAAAGAGUCUCCUGAGGAGCCCUGGCCUGCCCUGAAACUCAGGCUCACUCAGUGAUGCAAGUAGCAGCUAAAAUUUGGAUGGAAAUCUGCAAUCUUAAUGGCUCAAAGACUCAGGACAGAAUUUGAGGCUGCCACAGCCACUGGAACCACAGAGAAGUCAUCAUUCAAGAUCCGAAAUGAAGAAAAAAAAAGGAAGAAAAAGGAAAGAAAACAGAGCCAACUAUUUAUUCGCCAAGCUCCGUGAAGCAGGAGAGUUAAAUGGAGAAAGUGAGAAGAAUCACCAUUCCUACAUUUUUCAAUUUUUCUGUAUGGUGACACUGCUGCCUGCAAUUCCCCAGGGAUGAGAUAUUGCUUUUCAAUUUCUAUUUUCGUACAAAUAUACAGCACUUCAGCAGCUGGAUUGCUUGCAGUGG
RNAcentral lists this long non-coding RNA (770 nucleotides) under Homo sapiens (human). RNAcentral's name for it is "HSALNT0075109". Lineage: Eukaryota; Metazoa; Chordata; Mammalia; Primates; Hominidae. The record is from RNAcentral.